CGCCCGCCCCGCUCCGCCCGCGGCUCAGGACCGCACCAUUCGGGCUUAGACAGGGUGGGUUACUCCCUCCGACUUGGACUCGCCCGGCUGGCUCCGGACCGAACCACUCAGCGCGGAUGGGAGGGGACGAUCAUCCCAGCCGCAUACAUCCUGACCUUAUCCCGCUGUCAUUGAGUGAUGUGCUGACCUCACUGCAUCAACAUAUCGUGCCAUGACCUCACCACCACAUUGCCAUGAUGUCAUGUUGCCUUGGCGUGUUACAUCCUGACCUCGCCGUGUCACUAGCUGAGUUGAGAGAUCUGGGAUUUGCAGUUUAUAAGAAUGAAUUUUCUACUUGUCUGGGGACAUGGAGAACGGAGAACAAUCCUUGGGUGGAAGGUGCUAUAGACAUGCUAAUGAUCCUGUUUAUCUGACCUGGAUUUCCAGAUAGGCUUCUGUCUCCAGGCCUAGUGACCACCAAACGUACCUCAGUAAUGAACUCCUUCUAACGAGGCGAACUCUCACUGCUACAACUGCACAGUGAACCACUCAAUUUCCUGUUUUUGUCAGAGCAUGUUUCAUCCCAUGGACUCUUGCUCUUAGUCAUGUUAGUAUUAAAAGGACACUGAAAUUCUUUCCUGGUUUUUAUUAUCUUCUUUAGAUAGCCAAAUAUUGACUUGUGAAAUUCAAGAGGGGUCAGGAUUUCACUGUUUCUGGAAACUGACUCAUUCCCGUGGUGUCAAGCCUGAUCUCCUUUAGAAAAUUACACCUUGCACCAGUUAUUUACCCAUGAAAAGUCCCCUGAUAAUGCUAUGUCUAAAACCCUUUCCCAGAUGCAGUUAGCCAUUCUUCAGUCCUUUCUUGAAAUGUAAUUCUCCCAGACAUGGGAGCGGGCAACAGGAGGGCCAAAGAGCCAUUGCCCCAUACUUUUUAAACAGGGGGGCCAUGCUGCCCACUUUUGAGAACCUGAACUUGGCAGCAGGGGUACAUUGCGAGCAGUGGGCAGGGGUCCUUCUUACUUCUUCCGGGGUCCUUCUUACUGCCCCGCUUUGACCUCUGAUCAGAACUGGAUUGCAUAAAGUCAGAACCCCUUCCCUUGGCCCAGCCCUCCCAUCGGCAUGACGGAGGGGUGGCUGCGCCAAAAGUGAGUGGCAUUGAGACCCUGUGCCCCAGGUUGCAAAACCACUCGCUCAUAUUUGGAAAAAAGAAAAGGAGUACUUGUGGCACCUUAGAGACUAACCAAUUUAUUUGAGCAUGAGCUUUCGUGAGCUACAGCACGAAAGCUCAUGC
Chelonia mydas (Green sea turtle) is the source of this 1269-nucleotide long non-coding RNA. RefSeq lists it as uncharacterized. The transcript is spliced from 3 exons. Lineage: Eukaryota; Metazoa; Chordata; Testudines; Cheloniidae. The record is from RefSeq and is a predicted model, not a curated record.